Mus pahari (shrew mouse) is the source of this 370-nucleotide long non-coding RNA. RefSeq lists it as uncharacterized. The record is from RefSeq and is a predicted model, not a curated record. NCBI's taxonomy places the organism in Eukaryota, Metazoa, Chordata, Mammalia, Rodentia, Muridae. The transcript is spliced from 3 exons.
CAGGAGCCGUGGUCGCGUUGUGUGUGGUGUGUGUGUGUGUGUGAGUGAGGGAGAGUGAGUGCGGGACCAGAGGCGGUGGGUGAGAACCGUGGCCGCUGGAGGGGUCCGGGGGGAGAAGCGGCGGAGCCGCUCGCGAAGGCCAAGUCAUGACUACAGUAGUGGUACAUGUAGACUCGAAAGCUGAGCUCACUACCCUGCUGGAGCAGUGGGAAAAGGACCAUGGCAGUGGCCAGGAUAUGGUACCAAUCCUUACCAGAAUGUCUGAAUUAAUUGAAAAAGAAACUGAAGAAUAUCGUAAAGGAGAUCCAGAUCCAUUUGAUGAUCGACAUCCUGGUAAGAUGUGUUCACUUAAACCUGAUACUUUUAUUUU